AGGUGUGCUAGGGAAUAAAUGAAAUGCCUGGGACAUCAUCGUUAAGUGGCAUCUGAUGCAUAAGCAGUGCCCUAGGAAUGGGGUUGCCUGCCUUGGUCUCUAAAGGAUGGGUUCAAAAGGCAAGAGCAGCACACAAGAAGAUAGCUUCAAGCAGGAGAUAAAGCUUGGCCCAGGGCCCAAAGGGGAUACGACCCUUCAGCAAACUGACAUGCUGAAAGCUGCCCUAUGGAGAGGCUCAUGUGGCAAGGAACAGAGGGUGGCUUCUGGCCAACACCCAGUGAGGAACUCAGGCCCUCAGUCAAACAGCCUGCAAGGAACUGAACCCUGCCAAUAACCCAGCUGGGUUGAAAGCUUCCCUUUGGAGAAGAACUGAGGGCUGUCUCUGGUCAAUAGCACUGAGGAACUGAAUCCAGCAAACAAUUAUGUGAAGAAACUUGGAAGCUUGUCCUCCCCUCUAGUUGAGCUUUGAGAUGACUGCCGCCCUAGUGGACACCUUGAUU
Molecule: long non-coding RNA, 500 nt
Filed under: Homo sapiens (human)
Lineage: Eukaryota; Metazoa; Chordata; Mammalia; Primates; Hominidae
Description: non-protein coding CSMD2-AS1:10
Source: RNAcentral